UAUUCCCGAGCAGAAAAGGUUUCUACAAGCAGACAACAAAGAAAGGUAUCUCCAGGUCAAAGCCUUCUUCCCGGAAAGCCCCUCCCAAACACGCAGCCAUCCAAGUUUCUGAUGCUACACAGCAGGAGAUGUUGAUUUCGCACGGCUUCCUCGAUUUCAACGGUACCGUUUACUUCUUUAUGUUUACAUUUGCAUAUUCGUAGAGUUUGCUUCCCUCCCUCAAAUUUUUCAUGGGAUCAGAUGCCUCAAGGUUGUCACUAGCCAAGCUUUUGCCUCAGCAGGUCGUUGCCGUCUUGCUUGCGUGCUGACCAACGUCGCCGGCGAAGCUAUCCAUGGU
Molecule: long non-coding RNA, 337 nt
Filed under: Brassica napus (rape)
Lineage: Eukaryota; Viridiplantae; Streptophyta; Magnoliopsida; Brassicales; Brassicaceae
Description: long non-coding RNA (BNAP_LNC001408)
Source: RNAcentral